Long non-coding RNA from Seriola aureovittata, 711 nucleotides. RefSeq lists it as uncharacterized. The record is from RefSeq and is a predicted model, not a curated record. The transcript has 3 exons. NCBI's taxonomy places the organism in Eukaryota, Metazoa, Chordata, Actinopteri, Carangiformes, Carangidae.
ACUGCCAUAAACUCCAAAGGCAGAAGAAAAAUAUGGAGAAGAAAAGGUAGACACAUACAGUUAACUAAUGCGGCUACUCUCAUGAUGUUACCAAACAGUGAAUGGACAGUUCUGUGUGGAUAAACCUCUGAAGUGACUGGUGCCAGUCAUACCCUGGUCUUACAAACGAAAGAAAGUGAACAUUUAAGCUAACAACAGUUAGAGUUUACUCAUUAGUUUCCCAGUGUUGCUAAUAAUAUUAGCUACCUUGCUGAAAUACCAGUUGGCUCGCAGCGAUGGAUAGAGAAGACCUGCUGUAAAUAAACCAACAAAAUGACGGUCACAGGACAAGUGGAUAUGAAUGACAUGGACACUUAAUAUCCAGGAAAUGACUGCAGCGUCAAAAACGAUACUAUCUGAGCUCACCUAAUGGAGACAACUACACACCUUUAAACUCCUUACCAGCGAUGCCUAAUACACACCAUGACUAAGUGAAAUCGAUCGUUUGUUUGUAAGGAGCUCAAACAGAGCGGGAGAAGGAUUCAGGGCUCUGCUGGCAAUGCGAGCAGAACAGAAAUGCUGCUGGGGAAAGGCAAGCAAAAGGCAAAAAGGCAGAAAACCUCCCCAUUCUCACCGUCACUGCACAUGACCUUGGGGCCAGAGCGAGCUAGCGAGCGGGCAGGCGGAGGAACCGCCCAGCAAGCACUGCUGCACACACAGAGGAAUUUGGAA